UUCAAGGAAAUAAGGGCUUAAGGUGAAUACCUUGGCAUUCAGAAGCGAAGAAGGACGUGG
Molecule: ribosomal RNA, 60 nt
Filed under: Heterosigma akashiwo
Lineage: Eukaryota; Raphidophyceae; Chattonellales; Chattonellaceae
Description: partial ribosomal RNA
Source: RNAcentral